Triticum dicoccoides is the source of this 446-nucleotide long non-coding RNA. RefSeq lists it as uncharacterized. NCBI's taxonomy places the organism in Eukaryota, Viridiplantae, Streptophyta, Magnoliopsida, Poales, Poaceae. The transcript is spliced from 3 exons. The record is from RefSeq and is a predicted model, not a curated record.
GGUCAAUGUCAGGAGCGGCAGCGGCGAUCCACCAUGGAGUUUUUGACGCAACCUAACGGCAGAUCUGCUCUGCUUGAGGAGGUGGGUGAGAGUUUUGUGCCUGGCCCUCAAGUUGGGAUUGGUGGUGCGCUGGCGGAGACGGUCGUGCCGCAGCAGCAUCAGCCUGCCAUGCCACAGCAGCACGUGCCGGCGGCGAGCGGAGAAGCGCAGAUCUGGUCGACCAAGGAGGACGGAGCGGCAAGAAGGGAGAGCUCUCCUCCGACGUCUAAGCUGUCGACGAGGAAGAUGAAUCCCAGGCUCUCCAAUUGAAUACGAGGCUGAGAAUUGGUGCUACUGCGCCAAGCAGAGCACCGUGCCUGACUCGAGUCAGUGCGUUUGAGAAAGCUGUUAGGUGUUUUGCAAAGAAGCCGUCUGAAAAUGUGAUCACGCCCAUUCUUGGCACUACA